GCCCCCGUAGCGCAAUGGACAGAGCACUUGACUUCGGAUCAAGCGGUUGUGGGUUCGAAUCCCGCCGGGGGCGCCU
This 76-nucleotide transfer RNA is filed under the name Anaerolineales bacterium. Its description in RNAcentral is "tRNA-Arg". It matches the Rfam family "tRNA". From Rfam's summary of the family: Transfer RNA (tRNA) molecules are approximately 80 nucleotides in length. The record is from RNAcentral. Lineage: Bacteria; Bacillati; Chloroflexota; Anaerolineae; Anaerolineales.